This 930-nucleotide long non-coding RNA is filed under the name Eucalyptus grandis. RNAcentral describes it as "long non-coding RNA (EGRA_LNC004469)". The record is from RNAcentral. Lineage: Eukaryota; Viridiplantae; Streptophyta; Magnoliopsida; Myrtales; Myrtaceae.
UCGAAUCUCACAUAGGAUGCUAAAAGACUAAUGUGUAACCCUGAAAGAAACAGAACACGUUCAAGCCCACCCAAGUUGUAUACCUGAAAGAGACAGAACAGAUUCAUUUUCACUUUUUUUCAAUUGAUUUCAUUCUUUUCUCUGCCUGCUUGUAGAUAUAAAUUCACUAAAAUCUUUAUUUACCACAGUUAAUACACAUGUGAAAAUGUCAACAAAUCAGUAAAGCUUAAAUAUUAUUGACCCAAAAAAAUAACAUGACUAUUCAAUUCAUCUCUCUCUCUCUCUCUCUCUCACACACACACACACUAACACACUCACACACACUCUUGAAUACAGAAAGCAUCAAUAGAUUUUCAAAGAAAAACACAAAUCCCAAUCAAACAAAAAGAUGGCAUCCUGAAAAUGAUUCCAUAUUUAGCUGAAUAAAAGAGUAUCCAGCAACGUCAAUCAAGCCUAAGCAAUACCAUUGAAACUACAUCAACAAAACCGGUUUAAAUUAUUUUCAUCCCGCAAUUUCCUCCACAUAAUCAUCCAUAAAUUAUGAGUCCCGGCCUAAAGAAAGUUCCAAGCUUUAAUCAAGCAGCUUGCAGAGAAAAACAAAUUUCGUUACAGUAAGCCUUUCCAGGCGUUCAGGAGAAAAACACAAAUCCUAAUCAAACUAAAAGAUGACAUCCUGGUUCACCAAAAAAAAAAAAAAAAGAUGACAUCCUGAAAAUAAUUCCAUAUUUAGCUGAAUAAAAAGAGUAUCCAGCAACUUCAAUAAAGCCCAAUCAAUACCAUUGAAAAGACACCAAUAAAACCGAUUUAAAUCAUUCUCAUCCCACAGUUGCUCCCUUUGAACAUGAUUAUAAAUUGAUUAACGGUCCCGGCAUAAAGAAAGUUCCAAGCUUUAAUCAAGCAGCUAGCAGAGAAAAACAAAUUUUGUUACCG